Molecule: long non-coding RNA, 687 nt
Filed under: Mus spretus (western wild mouse)
Lineage: Eukaryota; Metazoa; Chordata; Mammalia; Rodentia; Muridae
Description: lncRNA (ENSMSPG00010045758.1)
Source: RNAcentral
GAAGCAAGCCAGUAAGCAGCAUCCCUCCGUGGCUUCUGCAUCAGCUCCUGCCUCCAGGUUCCUACCCUGGGAAUGGAAUCGCAAUGAGAAGUGAUGAAUAGAGACUGACCUGGGCUGCUGGCUCUGAGAGGGUGUGGCCUCUGCAGCUAGAGUAAGAAGAGUUCCCUGUAAGCCAGAGACUUGGUUCAGCGGUUAAGAGUGAUCCUGCUCUUCCAGAGGACUUGAUGGUUCCUAGCACCUACAUCAGGUGGCUCACAGGCAAAGCACAGGAAUUCAAGAAAGGGAAAAGAAGAAAACAAGCAAGGAAAGACAUAUUUUAAGCAGCCAUAUCAUUCUUCCUUACCUCCAAACAUUUGCUCAAACAUGGCUUUCUCGGAGACCUUUUCAUGACGUCUGCAUUGAAAUUGUUGCUCACGGGCUGGGGGUGCUGGUGAGGAUGCUUGCCCCAGUGCCAACAGCACCAACAAUCAACAAAUAACUAAAAUAAUUGCUGCUCAUCGCUGGAGGUGCUGAAGAUCACUGUUUAAGCCACCAUUUGAUCUAUCUCUGUACCCUGUGUCUCUCUCUUCAAGUUGUUCAACCCAGUGAGAACAAGAGUUCUUCCCAUUUUAUCCACGGUUCUAACCUAACAGCUACACUGUCAGCCUUGAUAAAUGUUUGUUGAAUAAAUUGAACCCAAAUACGAUU